RNAcentral lists this ribosomal RNA (460 nucleotides) under uncultured bacterium. RNAcentral's name for it is "partial 16S ribosomal RNA". It matches the Rfam family "Bacterial small subunit ribosomal RNA", at positions 338 to 795 of the family's 1533-position model. The record is from RNAcentral.
CCUACGGGGGGCAGCAGUGAGGAAUAUUGGUCAAUGGACGAGAGUCUGAACCAGCCAAGUAGCGUGAAGGAUGACUGCCCUAUGGGUUGUAAACUUCUUUUAUAUAGGAAUAAAACGAGGCACGCGUGCCUUUUUGUAUGUACCUUAUGAAUAAGGAUCGGCUAACUCCGUGCCAGCAGCCGCGGUAAUACGGAGGAUCCGAGCGUUAUCCGGAUUUAUUGGGUUUAAAGGGAGCGUAGAUGGGUUGUUAAGUCAGUUGUGAAAGUUUGCGGCUCAACCGUAAAAUUGCAGUUGAAACUGGCAGUCUUGAGUACAGUAGAGGUAGGCGGAAUUCGUGGUGUAGCGGUGAAAUGCUUAGAUAUCACGAAGAACUCCGAUUGCGAAGGCAGCUCACUAAACUGCGACUGACACUGAUGCUCGAAAGUGUGGGUAUCAAACAGGAUUAGAUACCCGUGUAGUC